UCAUAUUUUGCAUACCAUAUUUAAUAAUAUAACACUAUUAUGAAAUUCAUUAACCCAUCCUGUUUUUCUCUAUUUUUUAGUUUUUUUUUUUAGAAUAAAAUAAACUUAGCUAGAAAUGUGAAUCAACUAGGAUUCGAACUUAGGUCUCGGAUACAAACCAUCAAGUUUUUUGCCGUUUGCUCUAAGGACGGUCGGUUUUAUUUUCUAGUUCUUAGUUUACGUUUUCUUG
This 229-nucleotide long non-coding RNA is filed under the name Ananas comosus (pineapple). RNAcentral's name for it is "long non-coding RNA (ACOM_LNC040520)". Lineage: Eukaryota; Viridiplantae; Streptophyta; Magnoliopsida; Poales; Bromeliaceae. The record is from RNAcentral.